ACAAGGUUUCCGUAGGUGAACGUGCGGAAGGAUCAUU
RNAcentral lists this ribosomal RNA (37 nucleotides) under Kalopanax septemlobus. RNAcentral describes it as "partial 18S ribosomal RNA". Lineage: Eukaryota; Viridiplantae; Streptophyta; Magnoliopsida; Apiales; Araliaceae. The record is from RNAcentral.